AAGUCUGUUAGAGCACGUGGAGCGUUAAGAUCCUGAAACUGAGGACUACUGAUGUGUUUAACGCGGCGUGACUACUGAUGGGUUUAUCGCGGCGUGUUUCACAAGAUCCGAAUGUUGUACGCGGGUGGAGAGUCGACUCACACCUCCUCACAAGUCCUGUGCAGGAUGUCAGGGCCGAUUGACUUCAUCCUGAGAUUAAGACCUCAUCUUGGUCCGAUCAAGCCGGAAGGACGAGCGAAGUUUGCGGUCCCUGAGGGGCUGGAGCGGGCGGUAGUUGUUCACCAUCACAUCCUCUUCCUCACCUCGCCCGGAGAACAAGAGUGUGCGGAACGUGGAUAGCUGGAACGGAGAACAGCCGCGGUGAGCUGACACAGGCACAGAGAGAUCCACGUGCCGGGUGACCCCUCCCACACUGACCAACAGAACUCAGUAUAAUGAACCCGUGACUCCGCGAAGUCCAAGGGAUCACUAAAGGCACAGUGGCCACCACUCCAUUGGGUUUGGAGAGCCCAUAGACACGAGGGGAACCCAGUGGUUCCAAUGAACCAAGAGGGAACUGAGGCCCAGCCAACAGCCAGCACCUACUUGCCAGCCACUGAGUGAGCCACUAGGUAGGGAAGGAAUCCCCUGGGUAUGUGCCAUGAUAUACAUCUUUCUGUUAAUGUAUACAUUUACACCCCACCCCCAAUGAACUGUGAUGAGAUGGACAGGAA
Long non-coding RNA from Mus musculus (house mouse), 713 nucleotides. RefSeq annotates it as cDNA sequence BC048644. The transcript is spliced from 2 exons. NCBI's taxonomy places the organism in Eukaryota, Metazoa, Chordata, Mammalia, Rodentia, Muridae. The record is from RefSeq and is marked validated.